GCUUGUCUCAAAGAUUAAGCCAUGCAUGUCUCAGUAUAAGCUCUUGUACGGCAAAACUGCGAAUGGCUCAUUAAAACAGUUAUAGUUUAUUUGAUGGUCGCUUUUUACAUGGAUAUCGCAGGUAAUUCUUGUGCUAAUACAUGCGUCCUGACCCAACUUUGUGGAAGGGUUGUGUUUAUUAGAUACAGAACCAAUCCAGGCUUGCCUGGUUACCUGAUGAUUCAUGAUAACUGAAUGAAUCGCACGCUUCGGAGGCGAUAAAUCAUUCAAGUUUCUGACCUAUCAGCUUCCGACGGUAGGGUAUUGGCCUACCGUGGCUAUGACGGGUAACGGAGAAUUAGGGUUCGAUUCCGGAGAGGGAGCCUGAGAAACGGCUACCACAUCUAAGGAAGGCAGCAGG
This 400-nucleotide ribosomal RNA is filed under the name uncultured dinoflagellate. RNAcentral's name for it is "partial small subunit ribosomal RNA". It matches the Rfam family "Eukaryotic small subunit ribosomal RNA", at positions 30 to 432 of the family's 1831-position model. The record is from RNAcentral. Lineage: Eukaryota; Dinophyceae.